CAUGCAGCAAAGUUUCAUGGUUUCUUAUCAGACUAUGAACGGCAAACGGGUGAAAUAGGGAAGCCGGUGUAAAUCCGGCACGGUCCCGCCACUGUAAAUCAGGAUGAAUUCCUGUAAGUCAGGUUACCUGCCCUGGACGUAUAAACCGG
RNAcentral lists this non-coding RNA (149 nucleotides) under Paenibacillus sp. Lineage: Bacteria; Bacillati; Bacillota; Bacilli; Caryophanales; Paenibacillaceae. The record is from RNAcentral.